RNAcentral lists this microRNA precursor (129 nucleotides) under Spinacia oleracea (spinach). RNAcentral's name for it is "mir-172 microRNA precursor family". It matches the Rfam family "mir-172 microRNA precursor family". Rfam says of the family: mir-172 has been experimentally verified in Arabidopsis thaliana. Lineage: Eukaryota; Viridiplantae; Streptophyta; Magnoliopsida; Caryophyllales; Amaranthaceae. The record is from Rfam by way of RNAcentral.
UGGUUUGCUGAUGCAGCCUCAUCAAGAUUCACAAUAAUCAACGAGCGAGAGUUAAUUGGAUCGAUCCGUUAACCCGGCGAUUCUUGCUUUCGGAUAUGCGAAUCUUGAUGAUGCUGCAUUGGCAAUAGA